GUCUCCUCUUCUCAUGAGGUGGCCAAAGUAUAACACACACACAAUGCAUCUAAAUUGUUUUUUUUUUUUUACCAGUCUAGCUGAGUCCCAGGAGGAUUAUAAUUGAAGGUCUGAGCAACAAAUGAUGUUGCAGUAUGAGUCAAUCAAGACGUGUUCUCAAGGUCCAGAGGAGGCAACUGCAACAAGCUAGACUUACUGCAAUUAUCACCUGCCCUAAUGUCCCUCCUGCCUUCUGUGAGUCUGUCACAUUUCCUCCACCUGAAACAUGAAGGUAUGUGCUGUUUUUAAAAUGUUUUCAGUCACCCUUAAAGGUUUUUAGGUGCUCCUAAUUUUAGAUGCUCUUAAUAUUUUUUUUUAAAAGUUUUAAAUAUGUGUAUAAAAGGACCCCUGACCAUUAGGUCCAGUUGUGACUGACUCUGGGGUUACGGCGCUCAUCUCGCUUUAUUAGCCAAGGAAGCCAGUGUACAGCUUCCGGGUCAUGUGGCCAGCAUGACUAAGCCACUUCUGGCGAACCAGAGCAGCACACAGAAACGCUGUUUACCUUCCUGCAGGAGCCUACCUAUUUAUCUACUUGCACCUUGACGUGCUUUCGAACUGCUAGGUUGGCAGGAGCAGGGACUGAGCAACGGGAGCUCACCCCGUCUCGGGGAUUCGAACCGCCGAGCUUCUGAUCGGCAAGUCCUAGGCUCUGUGGUUUAACCCACAGCGCCACCCGUGUCCCAUCAAAUAUGUGUAUAUGUCUAAGUAAUUACCAGCCAGUUGCCAAUCUCCUCUUCUUGGGGAAGGUUCUUGAGCAGAUGGCUGUGGCACUCUUGGAGGAAAUUGUUUUGGUCACACUGUAGGAUGACCUCUGUUGGGAGAGAGAGAAAGGAAACGGCUCCUUGUUGAUUCUCCUUGUCCUCUCAGCAGCUUUUCAUACUAUGAGUCAUGGUAUCCUUCUGGAGUAUCUGCCAAAGUUGAGGAGAGGUGGCACCACUUUGUGGUGGUUCCAGUCCUACUAGGAUGGAUGUUUCCAGAGGGUGAUGCUUGGGGAUUGUUCUUCAGCCCUGUGGAGCCUUCAAUGUGGGGUUCCUCAGGGUCUAAUGUUACUGAACAUGCUGUUUAACUUAUUGUUAUGAUUAAUAGUAGUAGUAUACCACCCUCCAUCUGUAGAUCUCAGGGUGGUUCACAACAUAAAAUUAUAAUAUAAAAAACACAAAAUACGUAAUAAAAAUAAGAACGAAAACAAACCAGUAAUGUCCCCCUCCAACAACACAUUUAAAAGGGCAUCUGAUGUUACUCAGCCAACAGCCUGGUUGAAGAGGAACAUUUUUGCCUUGUGCCUAAAAGUGCAUAAUAUAGGCACCAGCCGAAUCUCCUUGGGGAGAGCAUUCCACAAAUAGGGAGUCACUGCAGAAAAGGCCCAUUCUCAUGUUGUGUCCCUCUGGACCUCUUGUGGAGGGGACACGUGAAAAAAGGGCCUCAGAGGAUGAUCUCAGGACCCGGAUAAGUUCCUAAGGAGACAGGUGGUCCUGAGAUAUUGGAGUCCUGAGUUGUCUACAUAAAACUCCUGAGUGGAGUCAUCUAGUGUUUUGGAGUUACAUUGUCAGCAAUAUGCUGAUGACACACAGUGUAGCACCCUGCUUGUGGUUAACGCUUAGCUGGAAUGAAAUAUUCAACGCAGCAAUAGAGAAAUUAAAAUAAUAAUUUAUUUGUCAGACAAAUAAAUGAGAGACACAGUGGUAUAUGGAUACCAAAGCUCUGCCUACUCCAGCCCUGAUGGCCAGCACUUAUAUUUCCUCAGCCCAGCCCCCUUGCUCCUCCUUUGGCUGCCUCUGUCCAAUCAGCCUGGUUGAAAUUCCUAUUGGCUGUUUGCUAGAACCAAUCAUAAAAGAUACACCCAUUUCCUAUUCCCUUUUAUGGGAGACAAAAAGCUAUAUUUCCUUGUAUCCAUAAAUGGCAGACAAGUAACCAUAUAUCUUACAUUUACCUCGACCAGGCACCUCAAUUACCAGAUAACCUUUGGCCCCUGUUGCCCUAUUCACUGCAAACCAGAUGGCUAAAGCAGAUGGUGCAUGGUUUCUAAUUUUUUUUUAUCUUAAAGAGAUCUUGAGUUCACCUUCUCACCCACCAUAAUAGGAAUCUAACAUAAGAAUCUAACAUUUCUUACUUUCUAAAUCCUUUGCAUAAUCACAUUUAAGCCAAUAUAUUUCAUACAUAACAUAGAUAGAUUUUUAGAAGGAAAGGCCUUUUCAAAUUAAAGGAAUUUAGUAAAAGCUAAGUUCCUAAGUUCUAUAAAGAAACCUUUUUCCCUAACCAGCGGCUGUUUCUUCCAUUUAACCUUUAACCUUAUGGCUCGAGUCUUCUGUUAAACAAUAAAUUUCACUAUUUACCAGUUCUUAAUUGUGUUUUUACAGCUUGAUUGUAUUCUGGUCAGUGUGACCUUUUACUCUCUGGCUCUAAUUUCCUUUUACAACCUUGAAAUACUUUUAUUUAUAGCAGUGGGGCCCCUUGAACAGCUGCCAGAGUAUUCAGCUGGUCUUUCCCUGGCAGAGAAAAAUAUAUUUACAAAUAUAAUUUUUUAAGCUCAAAGCAGAUUUUGAUCAGAUGCCUCAACAGCUCUACUUCUCCUUUACAUCUGCAGGUGAGGCAGUGGAAGUGCUGGACCAGUGUCUUGCCUUGGCAAUGGACUGCAUGAGAGCUAACAAAGUGGUGGGUGGGUGGGUGUGAGAGAGAGCGCGCAUAAGAGACACACUGGGGCUCUGGGGUUUUGAUUUUAAGAGCGGGGAACCCUGUUGCAAAGAAGGGACCUUCUUCUGCAUUCUACAUCAGCUGCCCGGGGAGGUGUUAUUUGGUGCUGAUUAAUACAUAUAUUUGUCAUUGCAAAUAAUGCACUGUACAAAUAUGAUCUUGGAGUUCUGCCAUUAUUUUCAGAACACUCAGCACAGGCAUAAAUGAUCCUUGAGCUGCACAGCCACAGGGGAACAAAAGGCUAACCUUGGCUAAAGAGCUCCAUCUCCUCCUCCAAAAAAAUGCUCCAUCACUAAUUGCAACAGUAGAAAACUGUGUUCCCAUCAUCUGUGUAACUUUCAAGGUUUAUCAGUCAGAAUGUGGCUAUAACUCUUUUCUUUAUCUAUCCUGUGUUUUCCACAUAUCACCCUGAGCAUAUUUCCCAUUGAAUCAUAGAGUUGGAGAGUUGGAAGGGACCAAAGAGUCGAACCCCCUGCAAAGCAGGAAUAAGAACUAAAGAAUCCCUGGCAGAUGGCCACCCAUCACCUGCUGAAAAACCUGAAAUGAAGGAGAGUCUACCACUUCCCAAGGCAGUCUGUUCUACCAUUGAACAUCUCUUACCAUCAGAAAGUUAUUCCUCGUUUAAUCGAAAUCUCAUUCCUUGUCAUUUGAAUCCAUUGGUUUGAGUCCUGCCCUGUGGAGCGGCAGAAAACAAGCUUGCUCCAUCUUCCAUGUGACAGCCCUUCAGAUGUUCAAAUAUGGCUAUUCUAUCACCUUUCAGUCUUCUCUUCUCCAGGCUAAACAUGCCAAGCUCCCUCAACCGUUCCUCAUAAAGCUUGGUUUCCAGAUCCUUCAUCAUCUUGGUCACCUUCCUCUGCACAAAUUCCAGCUUGUCGUCAUACCACUUCCAAGCUUCCAUUGUUUCAGGUUUUCAUUAGGAGGUUUCGGGAAGCUAUUCACUAUGGGUUGAUUACAAUAUUACUUCAAUACAAUAUUAGAAUCCCAGAAAAUGACAGGCUCCAUCCUGCUCCUUCUUGUGUGUCAGGCAAAUGGUCCAACCUUCUAUUUGGGAAAGGCACUGCCUGGAACCUUGAGGAGCCACAGACACUCAGUAUAGACAACACUGAGGCUGCAUUCACAUGGCAGUUUAUUCCUUUUCCCUGAGGUUUCCCUAACUGUUAGCUCAAAUAUAGUGUAGAAAUGUUAAUAUGACAUAAAAGUCCCCUUCAGAAAUCUAACAAAACAUAGUCCAAGGAUGGCACUCAUUUCCAUGUUAAUUGCUUCCAGAAAAAAAGAUGUGUUUGCAACCCCAUUAACCCAGCAAAUCAUGGGAGUAAAGUGAUAAAAAAAAAAAUUAGACAGAAUACAAGGAUGCAGUUCUUCUAUCUGCCAUUUUCAUGGGUGAAACAUGAGGGACGAGAAGCACAGGUGCGCGGAAAGGAUGGGGGAAUAUUGCCCAAUGACGUCCUUUGUUGUGCCACACCACGCCCACUGGUGGGAAUGAAAUUUAAGGCAGCAUGCUGGUGUGUAUCACUGGAAAAGCCACAGAUCACUAACGCAACAGGAACUGCAGCACGAAGGGAACAUUAGAUAACAGAACAGAGGCACUAGCGUUAAUCAGAAAAAAAUAACACAAUGCUUCCCACCUCUGAAUGCACCCUGAGUAAGUUGAGUAAGUUGAGCCAAUGUGUUGAUCCAGUACAAGGGAGAAUUCUGUAAAAUUCCCCUCUGAAAUCUUCCACAUUUAAUAGAUGGGUAGAAGAGAUUUCCCCCCAUUUCUGGGAAUAGACUCCUGUGAUGAAAAGUGUUGAAAAGUCUUAAACGAAUAUCUAAUUUGUGUGAGUAAUGUCCUGUGCUUAGCAAUACAAAGAAAAGCUUUAUAUAUUGAUGGGGUUUAGGGGACAAAAAACCAAUUCACUGAGUAUCUGUCUUUCACUUACUACUAUCAUUUAUUAGGAGAGAAUUUUGAGCACAAUGAAAACAGGGAGUAAUUUAGAGGGGAACGAAAAAGCACCUCCAAUAAGGAUAUUAAACGAAAGCCAUAGAUUUCAAUCUCUGAUUCUUUAAUAUCCUCUUUUGUCAGGCUUACAGAUACUUUUAAGAAAAAUAACAUUGUAUAGGACAUUUCAAAUUAGACCAGCUAUUCAGGAGCUCAGGAGCUGCAAAGAGAUAUGGCUCUAGGUGAACUUACCACCAGGAAUGCACCGAUGGGACUUGGGGAGAUCGUUGCUCCUUCUCCAAGGCUUCCUUAAAUUCACCUUGCUCAAGGAAGGACUGUAGCUCAGUGCUGUCCCUGGGAUGCAAGAGGACCCAGGUAUAAUCCCUCGCAUCUCCAGGUAGGGCUGGAAAUUUCUCCUACUGUAUCUGAGAGACUGUUUAUCUGUUGUGCUCUUGCAGUUUCAACAGGAGCUAGUACUGGGUUGACUGUGGGAACAUAGCUCAUGCCUUGCGUGCAGCUGCUCCCAGGUUCAAUCCCUGGCAUCUCCAACUAGGACUGGCCCUGGUCUGAAAUCCUGGAGAGCUGCUGCCGCUCACUGUAAGGUAGUACAGUGGUACCUUGGUUCUCAAAUUCAAUCCGUUCCGGAAGUCCAUUCCAAAACCAAGGCUCGCUUUCCCAUAGAAACUAAUGCAAAAUGGGUUAAUCCAUUCCAGACUUUUAAAAACAGCCCCUAUAACAGCAAUUUAACAUGAAUUUUGCUAUCUAACGAGACCACUGAUCCAUAAAAUGAAAGCAAUAAACAAUGUGCUGCAGUCACACGACCAAUCCAUCAGUAGCUGAACACAGUCACAAAAACAAAACAAAAAAGUUGCAAAAACAAAACUGCAAAAUAGAUGGCAAAAACAGACAGACCUCAGCGUAACACUCAAAAUGGAAGUGUGGUACUCAAAUCAGAAGCGUAACACUCAAAACGAAGCAUGUUCAGCUUCUGGAAAAAGUUCGCAACACCUGGAACACUUACUUCCGGGUUUGCAGCUCUAUAGUAAGUCUCACCUAGACCACUUCCCAUUCCUACACUUCUAUGAUCAUUAGCCUUAAAAGAAUGUGGGUCAAAGCAUCAUUGCAUCCCUUCUAGCACCGUAGCCUUUCUUUCCCCCAAAGCCAUGAGAGCUAGGAGCAUGAUCAUUUUAAAUCUGAGACAUAAGCAAGUAUUUGGUGUGGCAAAGUUUGUAGUGCAUAUAUACUUGCAACAUGGUCUUUGAGCUAUAGCUCCUACCCAAACAAUAACUUAUUGCAAGGAUAUUUGCUCCACAAAUAUUUGCUGCACCAAAUACUCUGCAAAGGUCCCUAAUUCAAUCCCUGCCAUAUCCUGGUAAGCCUGGGAAACUCUCCUGCCUGAAACACUGGGGAGCUGUUUUCACUAAGUGUGGCCAGUAUUAGACCAAUGAUCUAGUUUGGUGUCAUCAGCUUCCUCCCUGCCUACGGCAGCCGAGUGCUCCUGUCUAGCUUGGAGGCUUCCCAUAGGCAUCUGGUUGGCUGAAUUUUUGAGCCAUUGGCCUGUUCCAUCAAGCUCAUCUUAUGUUCUUACCAAGUGUGGAUGGGGCCACUGAUGCAAUUCUUCCUGUGAACUAAAGAAACUACUACCUGGUAGCUCCAGUCUAUGGGGUGUUGCCCUUCUUGCAGUAGUCUUGCUGGCUAGUUAUAGUAGCAACAAUGGCUGGUGCCUAUUGGGACCGGUAGGGCAGAAGGCAGGGAGACCAAGGGGCAGAUGGAGGGAGUGCCAACAGCAGGCAGUGCCAACAUAUUCUGGUUUUGUCCCCAUCCGUAUCCUUGCUGACAUCUACAAGGCAAUUGCACUGUAAUCUACAUAUUAAUCCAACAAGUGAAGAUCGGUUUGCUUAAAAAUGAGAAACAAAUUAAUUCCAUUAACAGCUGUAGUCUGUUCCCUGAGCUCCAUAGAAACCACUUCUUUGAGUGCCGCCCUUGCCAGAAUUAAAGUGGGUGGCAAUUAGAGAGAGGUUUCGGAUUCCAGCAUCAUUAGACGUCAAGAAUUCAUGCUUCUGAGCAGGGUAAUGUGAAUACCAUAGCCAUCUCUACUGGGGAAGUUUCAGCUCUUCAGCCAGUGGUGAGUGGUAGCUAUUGAGGCUGGUGGGGUAGAAAGCAGGGAGGGCAACAGCAGGUGGCGCCAGAGGCAAUGACAGGUAGAACCAACUCAUUCUAGUUUCUUCCUCCCUGCUGAAUUCCACUGAGACUUGAAGAGGAAGAGGAGACUCACAGGAAGUUUCACCCCUUGGACUGGUUGCAAAUAAGAAAGCUGGCAAGAUGGACGCUGGCUGGGGGCUGGUGGGCGCCGACUGAGGCUGGUGGGGCAGAACCCUACUUGACCUCAUGAACCAGCCUCCACUGUCUUCAGCUCCUCCUCUAUGUCAAACAUGGAAUCCCAAAAUUCUCUGUGCUGUUCGUCAGCAGUAAAAUAGGGGCGGGGAUAGAGAAUUCCAUUGAAAGUUAACUUGGUGGGGAGGUAGAAUUCUCCAACCGUUGGGGCAAAGUCAAGGGGGAAACGAAAUUCUCAGAUAAUCCCUUGCAACAUUAUCUUCUGAGAGCUUACCCUAAUUGCACCACCUCUGAAACAAUCACAAUGCACUUUUUUCCAUGCGAAAAUGUCUAUUUAGUCUAAUAAACCGCUCUGGCUAAAGGACAGCUAGCGACGCCACUGCCGACAUAGCACCAGAAUCAAUAAAUACACUGUAUUUGUGCUGCUAUGCAAAACACAUCUCCCCGUAAACAUAUUUUGCAAGGGAGGUGAACUGAUGGGGAAAGCCGCAAGAUGGAAAGCAGACUUCCAACUUGUGGUACUUGUACUUAUGAAGUCAACUUUUCAUUCUCAUUGUGCAAAAUUCUAUUUGGGCAGAAAGCCCUAAGGAGUUGUGACUGGUGGGUCUCAGUCAUUUUCAGCCUUCUCAAGUGGACACAGUGGAGGGUAGAAAGUUUUGAGAACCCCAUCUAUUAAGUGAUGCUGUUGUUUAGUUGAUGUUCAACUUAUCUCCAUCCCUUUCCUGCUUUUGGGAUUACAAGGGAGAGGAAAUAUCUAUGUCCAGGAAAAAGUUGACAAUCAAAGUUUACUUCCCUGCCAUUAGUAAGGCAGUGUAUUCUAUUCAAACACAGCACAUCACCCACCUGUGAUACAGUGAAGCAGACAGAAAGACGUGUUCAUUAUUCUUCCUUUGCAAGUUGGGUAUUAUACAAAACAAUCCCCUCGAUGGAGAUAAAGCAGAUUCGAGUGUUGAUCUUACUAACCUUCCAAGUCAGUUGAGCGGCCUAACCUAUUAUCAUCUCAGCAUGAAUUCAGCGGCAAAGACAUCACUUGGCAUCAAGCAGAAACAAGAUGUGAACCCGACCAGGAAUUCCAUAUGAGGAGCCUUGCUUUCAUUUUCUUGCAUUAAGGCACAAGGCAGCUGCACUUCUGCAAGGAAAAUGGGAAGAAGGGGCUUAUUGGGGGUUGCCUUUCAGAUAUUUUCCACAUUGUUUGGGUUUGCUCAUGCAUAUUAUGUAUUAAUAGUUGUCGCACACAACACGGGGAGCAAAUUACUGUUACUGAGGAGGAGCUGCCAUCUGUACCCAGAUUAUGCUGGAGAGAAGGAUGGUCUUAUGGGAAGGAUACUCAGUGGGCCAGAUUGCUCAUUGGAGCUUAAGAUUUCAAACGUGCAAAGAGCAGGGAGGGCAGUAGCAAGUGGCCAGUCUGUUUGAUGUGCAGAUAUGUACCACGACCCUUGAUUCUAGCUUAGAAAAAGCAUUAAGGGGCGUUCAAGAUAACCCAUCCCACUGAAAGAAUGCAAACUGUCAAAACUAUGCAUAGCAUGGAGGUAGCAGAUAGAGAGAGGCUUUUCUCCCUCUUUCAUAACUCAGAGACAUCCAAUGAAGGAUUCAGGACAGACCCCCCAAAAAAGCACAUCUUCAGUUUAUAGUUAAACUGUGGAACUUACUUUUUUGCAUUACAAGCAGAUUGGUAGUGGGCCCUGCGUGUACAUAGUUUUUAUUAUUAAUUAUGAUGAUGAUGAUGAUGAUGAUGAUGAUGAUGAUGUUGUUGUUGUGCAUUUUGUGUUUUUAUAUUGUAAACCAUCAUGUGAUCUUUGAUUGAAGAAUGGUAUCUAAAUUUAAUAAACAAGAAGAAGUAGUGCUGGGCAGGGAGGAAAUGGCUGCUACUGCAGUCACUACCUGCUAGGUGAGUUGGAAGAACCUAUGUAAGACCCCCGUUGUCAAAAGUGGGGACCUUUUUCAUUGCUUGCAAACAGGACUGUGAAAUUGGCAUGGGUAUUCCUACAUUUGCUCAGCCAUAUUGAAAAGGAACAACUUCUUGCCUUAGCUCUUUGAAAUCUGCUGCUGAAUGGUUGAUAUCCCCGCCUCCCCUUGCUCAUGUGUGUGCAGAUAUCAGUGGCAUAGCGUGGGUUGCCAGUGCCCGGGGCCUCACAGGUUGAGUAGGAGGGAGACAGGCAGAGUACUCAUAUGCAUUGAACUGCCUAACAGUGUCCACAUCACCCAGGAUAUCACAUCCACAAAGAUAAGAAAAGAAGAGUUUCGUUGUCUGGAGAGGUCACUUCCUGGUUCACACAGAGAAGCUGUUUUCAAUGGAACCCAGUGAUGGAAGUGCACAGCUGUACUGAGGAAGCACCAGGUGCUGAAAUGUUGUGCUCCUAACAAUUUUGUACCUAGCGCAACCACCCCUGUGCCCCCCACCAUGCUAUGCCACUGGUAGAUAUAGGUAAAAUCUCCAGUGGAACAAGAAAUUCUAAGGUUCUAUUUCACCCUCUCUUAUAACAUUGAAGUAGAGGCUUAAAUCCAUUAAAAAAUUCCCAACUGAAAGGGCACUAAAGUGUGUGUGUGUGUGUGUGUGUGUGUGUGUGUGUGUGUAUUCUGACCUGUUAAUAAAAGACUAAAAGGUGCACAUUAAUAUAAAUAUUUAUAUUCUGCUGUGCCAUAUUAGCACUUACGGAUAAUCUAUCUCCCCUGCUAAUGGUUCUGAGUAAAAUGUGCAGUCAGUGCGGCUGACAUUUUGAGGAGUUAUUGCUGUAUUGCUUCAUCUUAGUCAUCCCCACAGCCCCUUUCUUAGUGAUUGAUAUGAGAGAGAGCGUACUGACUAAAAUAUCUAUAUUUCUUUCCCCAUAUGUGCUUCUAUAGCCUGGUGAAAGCUUUGGCUUAGCUACGAACUUUGCAGCCCAUUAAAAUCAGCAGGAGAAGACCUGGCAGGCAGGAGACAAUGACAUUCCAACUCACAAUGGAGCUGAGGUGAAAUUCAGGAGCCACGAAACUGUUAGAGCUCAGGGGGCAUUAUUGUGUGGGGAGGUGUUGUGCUGCUAUGUGUGCACUCUGUCUGGGGCUGUGUGGGAAGGAAACGGUCAACUGCCAGGAGGGAUGUUGCAGAAUUCUGACAAAAACAGAAAUGGGAGCAAGGAUGGCUAGUGUUUGCUUACAUUUGGAAUGGAAAGCAAUCUGGGAAACACAUCCACAAAGAUAUGCAGCUGGUUAUACAAUGAACGCUUGGGUUGCAAACGUGAUCCGUGUGGGAUGCACGUUCACAACCCGCAGCAGAAUGUCUGUGCUCGAGCGGGUUGCAAUUCAGUGCUUCUGCGCAUGCAUGACCCCCGAAACCCAGAAGUAACCCGUUCCGGUACUUCCAGGUUUCGGUGGGUCUGUAACCCAAAAAAACACAACCUGAAGCAUCUGUAACCCGAGAUAUGACUGUAUCCCCAUCCCAUUUGCACUGUGUUUCCUUUGUGCUGAAAUGAAUGGGGUGGAAUAAUGUAAUGACAACAUAAUUUAGGGAAUUUAGGGAAUGAAAAGUUAAGUGAUUUCUCCACAGCAGGCAGAAAACAACUUUGUUCUUGGUGGAAGAAGAAAUGCAGCAGAAAGGAGACAGUGCGGAAUGCAACAAAUACAGGGUGGGAUAGAAAAUAGUGCCUUCUUAUAUCCCUAGAUGCCAAUAAGGAUGGAAGGGUCAAUCUAUGUCUAGUCUGUGUCACUUUCAGAUAUGUUCAUUCAUAUGUCCACUCCCUUUCUUUCUGCACUAAAUCUACACUUGUAUACACACACACACACACAUAUAUACUGUAUAUAUACUGACUGUCUGUCUGUGUGUGUGUGUGUGUGUGUGUGUGUGUGUGUAUAUAUAUAUAACCAACCCAUAUUUACAAAAAGAAAAAAGAAAAUUGCUCAACGUUUUGUAUUUAAAUAUUAUUAAAAUGCUUAUCUUUAUGCAUUAUCUCACAAAAUUCACAUUGUUGUAUGUUAUCUUACACAAAAUGUGAACUUUGAACAGUUCAAUGCCAUCGCUAUCUACUCAAAACUACCAACUCAAAGGGCACUUACUCCCAGGGAAAUAUGCACCCUACAUAUGUGUGAUGCUUUAAUAUGUAUUUUGUGAAAAUUGAGUCAGAGAAGUGCAAAAUUCAAAGGAUAAUUACAUUCUGAGCAUUGCAUUACUCCAGGAAGUACAGAUCAAGUCAUCUCAUAUUGGAAUUACACACACACACACACACACACACACAAGCUUCCAGCUACCCCCACCAGCAGCAAUGAGACUAACCAUAAAAGGGGGAGAAUGGUUUCAUCCAGCAGCAUUGAGCCUCUGCAGAAACCUUUCAGAUAAUUUUUCUCCGUCCUCACAAAGAUUAUUGCUGUAAAUAAUAUUGCAAAUAAUAAAUAAAUAAAUAACAAAUAUAUUUCACCACCUGAAAAUGGGGCAGCAAUUAGCAGAGGGAAUGUUUGAUCGUGCCUACAUUUUGUGAAUGCCAGUAAGUCCUAUUUGUGAACUCCAUCUAAAAGAACAUCAGCAGGGACAGGAAGCAGGACAUUUCAACUGGUGGCUCUGGUGAAUCUCUCCCUGCUUGCCUUCUGGAGAUAAGCUAAUACAUUUGGGUUUAAGAAAGCUUUUAAGGAAGCCCUUUACAACCUAUGGAAAGGCCUCGGGAACAUAUAGAUAUUGCUGGACCAAAAUACAUGCCCUAAAAAUGUUCCUUGCUCUCUUUGCAAGAAAGUUGCUUUUUUCAUUUAGCAUGUGAGUCCCAGAGAAUCAACAUUUUCUUGUAAAACCGAACGGGGAGAGGGAGAUCUGAAGAAUUUAAAAUGUCACUUGGAGCAUCCGAAAUUGCCCUGUAGAAGAAUUUGUUCACAAGUCAACCUUUAUAAGCGCAUGAACAUGGAUUUCUCUUACUCCUGGGAAAUCAAGAGCGAUGCUAACUCUUCGCGAUGUGGUAAAGCAAGCAGUAGCCUGGAGAUAAAUACCACAAAUAGGAUGGAUGCAUUUUGCACAUAACAUAAACAAGCUGAGCUGGAAUAAGGAAAACAAAUUACAGGUCAUUCCAGGCAGCUUCAUAUUGAAGACAUCCUGUUUUGGGCAAGCAGGACUCAUUAACUCGGUGCAUUGAGCUGAGGCUCUAAAAGGGGCUGGCAGGUAGAUUAGCAUCUGAAACUGUAUGAAGUUUUGCUUGUUUGUUUGUUUAUCAUUGCAUUUCUAAGCCUUCAUUCCUCUAAGGAGUUCAAUUUAAUAUAUAUGGUUCUCCCCUGCUCUCCAUUUUACCCUCGCAACAUCCCUGUGAGGCAGGAUACGGUCCUGAGCACCCCUCAACUAAGGAAGGAUUAUAGCAGUUCCUAAGGUGCCCCAGAUACAUACACACACAAACACACACACACACACACACACACACACACAUUUCUAGAGUCUGGGCAGCUGCUCCCAGGUCUGUGACCCAUGGAGGAGUUGCGCGGUGAGUUCCCGCCUCCCCCUUGGAAAUAAAGACACAGGACACCAGCAUUUUAGGUUAAUGGGCAAGAAUUGGCCACAACUUUAUUGGUUACAGGAAUUGAGCGGUAUUGGCUUAGGCAUUGGUCCUAUCGACUAUCCGGCUUCAGCCUGAUUGCUUGAAGACCGGGAAGGGUUAACCGCCAGUAAGGGGAGUCCUGCACAUCAACUAGGAGCUCCCCCGGGGUCACCGCUUGGGGACGUGCCUUGGCCCCUCACCUCCAUAGGCUUCGGACAGGGCAACGCCUCCUGGAAUCCUUUACCGGACUACCCUUCAAUAUGGGGGAAGGUGAUGGCGCUUCCUCCCCCCCCAUCUACAUAACAAUACCCCUACCAAUGCCUGACCGCCAAUGCCAAGGAAGUUGUGACGAUUUGCUACGAGGUAGGCGAAAAACCAAAUGGCUGGAGCCAAUUUGCCAAGUGGAAAAAAAUCCUACCAGGUCCCUUGACAGCAACCAACCGAAGUCCAUAGCAAGGUCAGAGAGCCAAACCUAAAGGGUGGAAAGGGUGGGAAACCGGAGCAGCUGGAGCAAAGAAAGAGGAAAAGCCUCGGCCGCACCAGACCUAAAUAGCGCGGGCCACGCCUCCCGGGCCAGCCGAUUGGCUGGCAAGGGAGAUGAUCUGGCCGAGGAUUCCCCCAGUCUCGCGGGAGCUGCGAGUCAGCCCCUGCGCACGUGGGAGGGUGUGAAGCCCGCAACCCCACCUCCUCUCAAGCUCAGAAGUGGCUUUGUGGCAACAGUGGGACCACCACACCCCACUCCCAGGUUAUGUACCUUCAUUUGAUGGGGUGCAUGAAUGCAACCUGAGGUUUCUGCUACACUGAAACCAUAACUGCUCUUCCCUCUUCAAGCACCUCCUGGUUCUAGAAAACAGCAGGGCAAAGGAUGGAAGGGAUUCGACUGGCCUGAACAGCCUCUCUCUCCACUUCUGACAAAUCUUGCAUGCCCACCUCCAUCUCUGACUGCUCUGACCCUUCCUCUUCAUCCCACCCUGGCUCCCGCACUGUAAGCAGCACCAAACACCCCAUACGUCACAGCCCCUGCUCUCCUGGGUCAAUCCACUGCCCCCCCGCCCCCACCACACACUCGUCAGAGUCCUGCCAGUUAGACUGAGAGAUGGUGACUGGCCCAAGAACACCCACUGAGCUUCAUGGCUGAGCACAGAUUUGAACUUUGAUGCCAAGGUUAAGGGUAGCCAAUUUCUGUGUGACUGCAUAAAACUUAGGGAACAAGCUGUGCUAUCAUAAUGAUUAAGGUUUUAAAUGAUAAUUUUAGGUUAUAUGUUAAUGGCCAAGUUUUAAUUUAUAUAUUUUUUAACUGUUGCUAUAUCUGUAUUGUCCCUGUUAUAGGUAAAGGGACCCCUGACCAUUAGAUCCAGUUGCGGACGACUCUGGGGUUGCGCGCUCAUCCCGCUCUAUAGGCCAAGGGAGCCGGUGUUUGUCCGCAGACAGCUUCCAGGUCAUGUGGCCAGCAUGACUAAGCCGCUUCUGGCGAACCAGAACAGCGCACAGAAACACCGUUUACCUUCCUGCUGGAGCAGUACCUAUUUAUCUUCUUGCACUUUAACGUGCUUUCGGACUGCUAGGUUGGUAGGAGCUGGGACUGAGCAACGGGAGCUCACCCCAUCGCGGGGAUUCGAACCGCCAACCUUCUGAUAGGCAAGUCCUAGGCUCUUUGGUUUAACCCACAGCGCCACCUGUUAUACCUGUCAUACCUAAUUGCAAAUUCAAAUGUAUGACUUCCUUGAUAUUGUAUGUGGGCUGGGACUGGUCUGUGACCGAAAUAAUAAAAUUCAUUCACUUUGAUGCCACAGACUGGCUGGAUGUAGAGCUGGGGAACCUCUAAGGGAACUCCCAGAGGAAGAAGGCUCAGGGCCAGGGGAUUGGUGCUGGGAUGAUGAUGUGUGGACAGAGGGAGAAGAGGGAACUGACUGGGAGAAGGAGGCGCCGGAAGCUGAAGAGGUAACAGGCUUUAGUGAGCAGGAAGAGACUGUGGCAGAGAGCAGUCCAGACACAGAGGCAGGAAAGGCGUCAGGAGACAGAGAUGAGGCAGGCUGCUGAAGAAGCCAUGGAGUCUCCCCCUUCUGUUGGAACCAGCUCACUCCCCCACCCCUGGUCCCACAGAACUCUCAAAGAAAUGGAGCAAUGAGAGGCAAGAUGAUAAGUCUUAGACUGUUGGGGAAGGAGCCUUAGAGAGUGGUGGGAAGGUGGGAACCUUCAUUCUUUGCAACUGCUUCAUUGGGGCAAGACGUACUAAGAAGCGUUGCUGUGACCACUCAUCAUGAGCUGUUUUGUUUCUUUAUUGUUUCAUUGCUGACCUAUGACUGACUCCAGCUCCUGACAUUUGGUCUCCAAGGUCCUAGCCUAACGCUCCAACCGCUACGCCACACUACCGCUCAUCUUGUAAGGCCCACUGAAAUCACUAGGACAUACCUCUAGGAAAUGGGCAUGGAACGACGAGAUUCCUCCUCUCCGUGUAUACAGGUGUUACUGCAUCUUGGGGGCUGCCGCAUUAAGCUGUGAGCGAUCAGAGUGCUCCUACUUUUUAUUCAGAAGUCCUGUUUCCAAGUUAACAAGUCAGGACUUAUUGCCUACACAAACUCCUCAGGGAACAGGCUCCAAUUCACUCAUUGGGAUUUACUUCUGAGUAAUCACACAAUUGGACUAUGCACUUUCAAUUUGGUGACUCCAGUCCUUUCCAAAUGUGCAUUUUUUGGCUGCCUUUUCACUAAGCCCUUGGGAUCAGUCCCCGCCCCAUGCACUAAAGAAGCACAAUUUCAGUCCAUCUUAUUCCCCCCCAUACCCAGAUUAGAACCCAGCCAAGCAAUACACCCCUUUCCCUUCAAGGGGACCUUCACACCUCACUCAAAUUCAGACCCACCUCUAGUUCCCCCAGGCGAUAAACACAAGCUUUGAAUCAGCAGUACCAUUCCGUGCAUCUGCACAAAUCCAUGUAACAGAUGUGAAGAGGCUUGGGAGGGGAACUUAUUUUAGAUAAGCCAAAUAAUCUUUUCAAUUAUCUUUGACUGAAAAUAUUGUAUUUUCUUUUCCGGCAUUCAAGAGCAUUUGGGCAUAAAGCACUCGCCUAAUUAUCAUUAUCUCCUCUAUUAUGUGUUCUGAAAUAGUUUGUCAAAUAUGCUACUAUUUUGUUAUUUGGGAAGGUUUCCAAAAGCACUUUCCAGCUGCUAUAUAUCUUUGUUACUGGGUAAUGGUUGUGGCGGAGGAGUUGGAGUUAAUCCAUCAGGAAGCAAAACAACCAAACCAAACAAAAAAAGGAAGCAGGAGAUUCAUGUUGCAAGCUUCCUUUGGGGGCCAGAAGGCUCCAGGGUUCAAGGUGCCUGGGGGCAAGAAGCCCACCCCUCUAUGCUUCGUCCAUCCUGCUAAUCAAUUGUCAGUUUGUUUGUAGCAGCUGGAAACAAUCACAGUAAUCACGGUACUAGAGAACCAUCUUGCGAGUGGUGAGUUCAUGACUGAAAAGGGACCUUAGGGGCCCUGCAGAAUCAGUCCCAAGGCCCGUCUAGUCCAGUAUCCUGUUCUCACAGUGUCCAACCAGAUGCCAGGGAAACCUCCAAACAGGGCCAGAGUGCAACAGUGCUCUCCCUUCCUGUGAUUCCCAGUUACUGCAUAGCUGUCAACUUGUCCCUUUUCUUGUGAGGAAUCCUAUUUCGAAUAAGGGAAUUUCCCUUAAAAAAAGGAAACCGUUGACAGCUAUGAGUUACUGGUAUUUUGGAGGCAAACCACCCCUGACAAAUAGCUUCUUGAAAUUCUCCAAUCUUAUUUGUAUGAGGAGGGGGAGCAUGUCACCAAAUUUCUCCAGAGGGAGGGGAGGAAAUCUCCAACUGGUUCUUAGAGGUGGGUCUUGCCAUUAUCAGUAGCAAUAGCAUAGUUCUGUUCUGUUCUGCAAUUUUUGCCUAAGGGUGUGCAUUCAUUCAUGGUGUGUGGGUGUGUGUAGGUGUGUGGGUGUGGGUGUUUGCUGCCUCUGCGAGUGGCAAGAGCAGCAACUGUGAUAGCAACCUGGCCAACAUAGGGCAUUUGCCACAGAUGUUCUGGGCCAAAAAGGAAGCUCUCAGAAAUGUUAUGGGGGGGGGGGCUCCAGAGAAAUUUUGACUUGGAUCUAACCUAUAAUUAUUUUAAGCAGGAAGCAUGUUACACAGUGAUGUGAUUCACAGCCAGGGGUGAGAGGAUUUCUCCCCCAUUGUGUUUGUUUAUAUUAUAUUAUUUUAUUUUAUUUCCUCUGGCGUAAUCUUCCAUGAAUUCUUCUUCUCCUAAGUUCAGGUUCAACUAGGACAAUUUCAAAAAGUGCAAUUCCAGAUGUGGAGCACCUGCAGCUGGAUUUGGCUUUCGUUUCUUUUGGUAUCACACACACACACACACACACACACACACAAUGUUCUCCAUAUACCCAUGGAAAGACAGGAAAGAGUGGAGGGAACUGAAGCCCGUAGCAAUGCUCUCAACAUGUUUUGGAUGUUAUAAAUAAAGCAACAAAGAAUUCCUAAUUUGUUGAUUCCACAAUGCCAGUUGAUUUGGAAAUCUGCCAGAUCUGUGGAGAACUUCAGAGGAGGACAAUUCUGGAAGCCUCCAUGCUUCACCUUCUCCUGUGCCCAUAAUAAGAGAAGUUGGGGACAUCCAAUGAAGUUGAAGGUUGGAAGGUUCAUGAAUGACAAAGUAAAGUCCUUCGUCACACACAGCACAGACUUGAACCACUGAACUUGCUCCCCUGGAGGCAGUGACAGCCACCAACAUUCUGCUUCCACUGUCAGAGUCAGUAUACUUCUGAAUGCCCGUUGAUGGAAACCAUGGAAGGGGAGAAAGCUCUUAUGCUCAGGUCUUGCUUUCAGGCUUCCCAGAGGCAUAAGGCACUUUGAGAACAGGAUGCUGAACUAGCAAGACUCCACUUAUGUUCUUAUGCUUAUUCCUAGGGAUCAUGGGAGAGGCAUGAAAGCCGUUCAGAGGAGCUCAUGCUUCUGUUCAUUCUGGAGAGCAAGGCAGUUGUCCUCUGAGUACUGAUGUUCCCGCAGAUGUUGCUAAAGCCCCGAGCAUCACAAAUGCAGUCCCCAUAUCGCACAAUACUCCAUCACAGCAAUCGCAUUAGAAUUACCCUUGUUUUCAACGACUGCAGCAAGGCAAGAGUGCAGAUGCCUCACAGAGGUCAUUCACGCAAUAUUGCAUGACCUUGAUGAAUGGCUAAUUUGAUAAGAAUUCAAUUUAAAAUUCCAUUUGCUCCAACAAACCAGCAUUUUACUGCUGUUCAAUUUCCCCCCUCCUCCUAUAAGGAAAGCAAUCUUCAGAAGGAAGAUGUUUUCUGAAACCUUGAAGGUGGGGGGGGGGGAAGAGAGAGAGAGGGACUGAGGAAACUGCCUUUAUUUUCAAAGGCGCCACAUAUCAGUUUAUUUUAAAUGUAAAUUUAUUUUAAGGGUGUUUCCACACCCUUCCACACACACACGUCCACGUGAAGUAAAUCUCUUAAGCUGUCUGAGAUGAAACGGUGCUUGAUAAGAAAAUACAUUCAUUGGGCUAUUUCUGGAAAGUAAUUUAUCUGCCAUCUUUGUUUCCUGUGGGUGUUCUGUAUGUAGGGGUCCCCUUUGGGCCUGGUCUGGAGUCUCGAACUGUUUCUGGAUCCGAGUACCAGAUCACAGGCUAUAUGUAAGGGUGGCGCUGUGUGUUAAACCACAGAGCCUAGGACUUGCCGAUCAGAAGGUUGGCAAUUCGAAUCCCCGUGACGGGGUGAGCUCCUGUUGCUCGGGCCCUGCUCCUGCCAACCUAGCAGUUUGAAAGCACAUCAAAGUGCAAGUAGAUAAAUAGGUACCGCUCUGGUGGGAAGGUAAAUGGCAUUUCUGUGUGCUGCUCUGGUUCGCCAGAAGCGGCUUUGUCAUGCUGGCCACAUGACCCGGAAGCUGUACGCCGGCUCCCUCGGCCAAUAAAGUGAGAUGAGCGCCGCAACCCCAGAGUCGGUCACAACUGGACUUAAUGGUCAGGGGGCCCUUUACCUUUUACCUUUACUUAGAUCCACUUACCUGAAAGCAAGUCUUACUGAAUUCCAUGGGUCGUAUGCAAUGCUAAUCCUUCUCAGAGUUGGCGCAGUGAAAUUGACAGAAAUGAUUAACUCAGGUUGAUUACUUUCAGUGUGUCUACUCUGAGUAGGGAGUAGCUUUACAGCCAGAAAACUUUACAGUCAGGUAUAGAGGUGCACUGUAUUAAUUUAAUUUAAAACCCAAUCCAUUCUUUUCAGUGCCUUACUUAUUGAAAACCACUUACCUGAAACAAACAUGGCUUGUUCUAAACCGAUAAAAGCAGAGAUGUAUUGACAACAGACCUCUCAUUGGUGUGCUCGUUGACCUAAUUAAGAGAAUUCAGCAGCUGCGGCUAAUUUAUUUAUUUCUUAAAAGGGUCAAGUGGUUGUUUGUUAGGGGUUUUUUUUGGAAAAAAAAGAUGACAACUCUUAAAAGCUUUUCGUUUUCAAAUGUAUGAUGUUCCUAAGCUAAGCCCUUGUUUCAGCUGUAUCAAAUCUAAAUAAAUAGGAGAAGAUGAUCUGUAUUAAUAGUUCUGAAUGUAGAUCGAGAUAAUGAUGUUCUCGGGGAGGGGGGUGAUUGCCUUGAUUACAGGCUGUGCUGCAGGGAGGGGAGGCAGAAAAUUGAUGGAUAGAAAAUUUAUAUAUCAACCACGAGACAUUGGCAGAGGUUUGAAGCACUAUUUUUUUUAAAAAAAUGUAUCUUCUGAGAGAUUUGCAGUUAAAAUGCCAGGAAAUUUUCAUGAAGGCAAUUUAAAAUAAAUAAAUUGCAGACUGAGGCAGAAAUGUGGUGAAGUGAAUUUAAGUUUGGAGAAAUUGCAGGGAGUUGGACUAGAUUAGGCAUCGGACUACAACUCCCAUCAUCCCUAGCUAACAGGACCAGUGGUCAGGGAUGAUGGGAAUUGUAGUCCCAAAACAGCUGGAGACCCACGUUUGGGGGUGUCUGGACUAGAUGGUCCUUUGGAUCCCUCCUGACUCUACAACUGUAGGGCUCUAUGAAAUGAGAGAGACAGUAGCUGAAUCCUGGCCCAAAGCCGUACAGUAUAGGCAGACAGACCUAAUCACUGACCUCCAGGAUGACUGAAUAAAUUGGACCCAAUCCCUGCCUAGUUUGGCUUGGAGGGUCACCUUAAAUUGUCUAGCUAUUGGAAUACAGCAAUGCAUUCCAUGUGGGGCUUCUUUUGUGCUUGAUCUAGAAACUGCAGUUGGUGCAGAAUGCUGCAGCACAGCCGGUCACAAGAGGGAGACCCUGUCAUCAUAUACUGCUUUGCUGAGAAAUUUGGGCUGGGUGCUGAGUGGCCUAGUUUGCAGACCCUCCAAGGCUCCCUAUUUUCCAGGGACAGUCCCUGAUUUAGUCCUGGAAUGUCCUGCUUUUCCUUAGGUAAAGGUAAAGGGAUCCCUGACCAUUAAGUCCAGUCGUGGCCGACUCUGGGGUUGCGGUGCUCAUCUCGCUUUAUUGGCCAAGGGAGCCGGCGUACAGCUUCCGGGUCAUGUGGCCAGCAUGACUAAGCCACUUCUGGCAAACCAGAGCAGCGCACGGAAACGCUGUUUACCUUCCCGCCGGAGCGGUACCUAUUUAUCUACUUGCACUUUGAGGUGCUUUCGAACUGCUAGGUUGGCAGGAGCAGGGACCAAGCAACGGGAGCUCACCCCGUUGCAGGGAUUCGAACCACUGACUUUCUGAUCGGCAAGCCCUAGCCUCUGUGGUUUAACCCACAGCGCCACCUGCGUCCCUGCUUUUCCUUAGGAUGCCCCUAUUUUCAUCAGAGAAAUGUUGGAGGGUUAUGCGACCCCUGAGCCAAGGAGAUGAGUAGCUAUACAUCUGAAGGCAGCCCUGUAUAGGGGAGAUUUUUUUUAACGUGGUGGAGAUAAUUCAUGAUGUGGAGAACGUAUGUAGACAGAAGUUUGCUAGAAUACUAAAAUUGGGGACAUCCAGUGAAAAUUCAGGGCAGAGAAAAGGAAGGUGUUGUUGUUUUUCAAGUUGUGAAAUUCACUCCCACAAGAAGUGGCCAACUUGGUUGGUUUUACAAGACGAUAACACAAAUUCCUGAAAGAUAAGCCUGUCAGUGGCUACUAGCUACAACAGAGGCAGUAAGCCUCUUAAUACCAAUUGCUGAGAAUCACAAAUGGGGAGCACUGUUGCACUCAGUUCCUGCUUCCUCUGGGACAUCUGGUUGGCUGCUGUGAGAACAGGAUGCUGGACUAGAUGGGCCUUUUGCCUAAAUCCUGCAAGGCACUUCUUAAGUCCUCCCCCCCCUUGUUUGUUUUCUGAAUCUCACAAAGGAACUGCUUUCCACAUGCUUGCUUCCACUCAUGGAUAGAAUACAAAGUGUCAGCCUUCCUGCUGCCCAGAUGUUUCCCGAACCUCACAUAGCGGUACACAAAUGUUGACUUGAGUGCUGUUUUGGAGGCUGAAAUCUCCUUGUGUGAAUCCCGAGAUGAUUCAUUCAGGUAAACAACAGACUGCAUCACGGUUGUGCAUUUUGAGAUUGGAAAGGAAGGAGAAACAGCUCUGAGUUCUCCCUGCCAUGUUGCAAGGUCCCAGCUGCUUGCCGUCCAGAUAAUGGCCAAGGAAGUAAAAGAGGAACAUGACGAGGGGAAAGGGCUCUUGUGCUCGUGUUCAGCUUCCUGGUUUCCUACAGGUAUCUGGAUGGCCACUGGAUGCUGGACCAGAUGGGUCAUCAACCUGGUCCAGCAGACUAUUCUUAUGUUCUUACAUUUUUAUUUACAGUGAUUUUUGAACUGUCAUUUUGGUCCCAGGCAGGUGUGUUGUUGUCAGUUGCAUUUUACACCGGAGUGACUCACAGGAUCCAUCUGACAUUGCUCUGCUGAUGCUUAUAGUUGCUAAGAAAAAUGAGGUGGGAAGAGCUCAACCCACUAUGAUUGUUGGAGGAAUCCUUUGAAAAUGGACUGUUAAUCAGAUUUCCUUCUGCCUGCCUAUCUGAUCCCCACUGCUGUUACAAAGACUCUUGCACCUUUGUUCUCCACAGCAAACUUUAUAUGUUAAUUGUUAUGUGACUGCUUUGCAAUACACUUUUUUUAACAUAGCCAUUCAUGUAUUCAGGUGCUGCUUUCUUUUCUUAUUUCUAAGUGUUGUUUGUUGCCAAAGGCAGACUAUAUGCACUAAGGCUGCACUCCUAUCCAUAUCUCUGCAGAAAUAAAUCCCACGGAAUUCGGUGAGGCUCACUCACUUGUAUGUUUAAUCUGCUUCCUGUUGUGAAUUUUCAGAUCCAAUGGACUGCAUUGCUCGUUGUUGUUCUUUCCACAUGAAAACAGAACACAGGCUUGUGCAAAAUAGUCCUGGAAUGUGCAAAAUAAACCAAUUGCACCAAAAUGGAAAAUGGUGGGAGAGGUCCAACCACACAGGAGGAACCUUCCAAGGUGUGUGGUUUUUCCCCCCAGAAAAGACCUAGAGCUGGCUCUGGCCCCAGAGGUAUGACUUGAAAGCACACAGUGCAACAAUCUCACAGAAGCUAUGCAGAUCUGGCUCAGCUAAGUGCAUGGAUGGAAAACCACAUGGGACCCCCUUGAACUCUAAGGAGGAGAAAGAAAAAACAGGAUGCAAGUAAAUUUACAUUCAAAAUCUCAAUCUCUCUCUAUCUCUCUCUGUGUGUAUGUGUAUCUUGAAGGAGCCUGACUUAGAGUGGGAGUCAUCCAGGAACAGGGAUGAUAGAGAAUGCUUCUCCAAAUCUCCUUCAGUGAACAGAUAGUUGUAGAACACUGGAAAUCUAAGGAGGCUCCAUGUAACAGCAGGGCUGGGGAACCUCUGGUCCUCUAGAUGUUGCCACUGUCCGGACCCCCGUGCCCAUUGGCCAGGAAUAAUGGUUGUUGCAGUCCAACAACAUCUUGAGGGCCACAGGGCCCCCAUCUCUGAAGAACAGAAUGCUGGAAACAGGACAUGAAACUUGGGCUGAAUAAUUAAAUCACUGAAUGCUAUACACACGGACACCUGGAUAAGCGUUUUAGAUGUUUUAGAAUGCAAAAUUCCUUAUUUAUUUAUUUCCCUGACUUCAUCAAUUUUCCAUACAAAGCGGCAUACGAAAUUUUAACACAAAAUAAAGCAUGCAGUAUGUAUGCAAUUACUACGGAUAAGUACUAAAAAAUCAGCAGUGACUGAAAUACAAUGAUAACAGCCCAAAUUGAUCUGAAACUAAUUUUUAGUCAAAUCUGGAGAAAGCAGGAACCUUCAGCUGCCACUUAAAAGAAGAGAGAAGAAGAGUUUGGAUUUGAUAUCCCGCCUUUCACUCCCUUUAAGGAGUCUCAAAGCAGCUAACAUUCUCCUUUCCCUUCCUCCCCCACAGCAAACACUCUGUGGGGUGAGUGGGGCUGAGAGACUUCAAAGAAGUGUGACUGGCCCAAGGUCACCCAGCAGCUGCAUGUGGAGGAGCGGAGACGCGAACCCGGUUCCCCAGAUUAGGAGUCUACCGCUCUUAACCACUACACCACACUGGCUCUCAAGAUUGUAAUGUAGGUGCUGAGGAACUAUGUCAUUCCAAAGUCGAGGCACCUUCACCCCAAAGACCUUGUCACUUGUAGCUUAAGCUUCCCACCAGACAUCUGAAAGUAGAAGAAUCUUGCACAAAUCAUCAGCUGUCGGCAGGUUUGUGUGGGAUAAGGAGGUUCUGAGCUUAAGUAAAUUGUGAUCUUGAAUUGAACCCCCCAGCCAAAGAAACAGAAAGCCAGAGACGAUCUUUCAACAUGGUGAAGUACAUUUCUUAUGGUAUAUCCUGGUAAACAACCUGGCCACUGUUUUGAACCAACUGUCAGUUACCAACACUUUCUGUAGGCAACCCCAAAAUCUAACAUUAGAGCCAUUGAGAUAACUCAUCAGCUGUGAUUUGGAUCAUGCCUACUGCAUGUUUUGAAGAGGAAAUGGAUCUUACAUUUUAGCAUGUCCCUGACAAGAAGAUGCCCUUAUGAAGAGUGGUUUUGCUCAGACAAUGAGCUCCUGAUUGAAGCUCUUCUUGGGAGUCAUCUAACAGCAUUCUGCAUGAGAUCUGCAACCGAAUUAGUGUGCACAAUCUGAAGAAGAAGGAGACUCACCAGAGUAUUUCAGAAAAUUGACUGAAAAUUGACCCUAAAUGCAUUUACCUGAAAGUCAUCCCACGGAAUACAGUGGGACUUCUUAGUAGAUGUAAACUCUGCCUCUUUGGGUUCUACAAAGCUUAGUUGGAAGAAAAGUGUGCAACGGUUAAAAGUGAACCAUUUUUAUUUAAGUUGGAACCACAGAACAAUGCAGCAAUUGCCCAUAGAGAGCUAAUAAAUGCAUCAAUACGUCGUCUGAAACAUGAGCAAUGCAAGCAAUAGUUCCACUGAACCCAAAGAAGGAAACUUGGCCCAGCAGUUGCUUCUGUGCAAAGAACUUGAGUCCCAAAGCACAUCAAGAAACAACAGCAAAUGGAAACCUUAUAAAUUCAACAUGAAGGGCAUCACUCUGGAAUAACAAAACAAAAAGCCCAGAGUUGGCUUUACUUAAUCUUUACCUAGGGGACAAUAUAAAUCUGCAUUUUAAGGAUCUUAUUGACCAGCUUUUAUUAGCACCCAGGCUAGUACUAGCUAGAUAUUGGAAAUCCUUGGAAGGUGUGACAAUGACCACAUGGCAUAAAAAUGCCUGGCAAUUAGCCCUGUUAGAAAAUAUUAUCCACUAAACUAAAAAUAGUAAGGAGAAUGAAACAAAAAGUCACUUUUUGGGUGGGUUGGCUGACCUCACAUCUUCAGAAAGGGUGGGAGUGUGGGUUUUGAUCUAAUACUGUUUCUCGCUAUUUUGUAAUGUAAGAAAAUAAUAACAUAUGUUUUUCAAAGAAAUGGAAGGAUAAAUUAAGCAUGAAGGACAUAGUUCUGGAAUAACGGAACAUUCAUGGCAAAUCAUAUCAAACUUACCAAAAAUAUGAUUUUUUCCCAUUCCUGGCUUAUUAUUAUUAAUCACCUUCCAUAUAUGCGCCUCAAGCUGAUGUACACCAGCAUAAUAAAACAGCACAGAAAACAAGAGCGAAUGACCUUUAAAAACAAUGCAAAGCAGAGCCCCCCUGGUAAGAGACCUAGUUAUCCAGCUGCGAGAGCUUAUCAGGAGAAAAAUGUCUUCCACUAUUUCGUGAAAAGUGCAGGCAGUGGGUGCCUCUUGUAUCUUGAGAGGAAUGCUACUCCACGAAACGGGCUGACACAUGAAAGCCCUACUCCAAGUUACUAUGGAGCAGGUUUCUGAUAUAUUUUGGAACUUGCAAAAGAAGUUGCCCUGCAGACCGCAGUGACCUCUAAGGAAGAAGGUGGCCUCUAAGCAGCAUGGUCCUGAAUUGUAUAGAGUCUUAUAGGUUACCUUACACCUGGCUUGGCAGCAUAUUAGCCAUGCAUUGUGUUGUGAGUUGGAAGGGGUAGGCUGCAUGCUUGAGUCCUUUCUAAUAAUAAUAAUACUUUCAUUAUUUAUACCCCACUCAUCUGACUGGGUUUAAAAAUUCCUGGAUCCUGCAAGGGUAAAAUCUAAUGGAGGAUCCCAAUGUUGAAACAGCCAGGCCAGCUUCUUGGUAAACUGAAGUGUAGGUGGGUUCCCACAAGGCAAGACACAGUGAUAACAGGAAGAAUCUUUAUUGAACUAACAGAACUGGACAACAGGGGCAAAGCAACUGCUUAUAUACAUUUCUGAAGGCCUGGGCCACUCCCACUCCCAAUGUGAUUGGCUGUCUAAACUUCCAAGCUGCGAAUCAUAACUCAGAGUUUAAGGGCCAAUGGCAGAGGCCCAAAUUCUGAAAUGUUCUGUGAUUGGAUAUCAUGUAUCAAUUCAGAACACAGGGGCUCAGAAUCCUUAGUCCAGACUCAAGCUCAGGCAGACACAGACCACUGAAUACAUAACAGAAAUGUCUCCCUGAGUAUAGAUUAUUAAAGUAGCAAAGGAAGUGGCUCUGGCCCGGAGAGCAAAUGGUGGGCCUAGGGCUUUUUUUCAGUUCCAUCACCUCUCAGAUGGGAGCCAUUGCCAUAAUAAGAGGACAAGUGAAGCAUUAUCUUAUAGUGAGUUCCAGCAACUCUUUUUCUAGAAAAAUAGCAGUGGGUGGGCCACCCCUACCUCUACCUCACUGCUUGUUAGAAGGACAAGAGCCAGAGUUUUAGUGUGUAAGCUAGAAGUUAGGAGCAGGAAGCAGGUUGGGCAGCUGAGAGACAGAGUCAUGCCUGAUUUCUGCUGAGAUCCAAGGCUGCAGCUAUGGGACAAGUAAGACCCUCUUGGGGUGUUAAUGCUGUGAGCCCCUCCAAUGUAGGCUCGGGUUGUAUAAAUGUGAAAAUAAACCAUAUAUCCUAAAGACACCACAGUCUCCGCUGUCCCUCAUUCUGAGGAAACCAAACGCUAGAUAAGAGCAGACCCUACAAGUAUCCCUGUUUUCCAGGGACAGUCCCAGGUUUACAGAAGCUGUCCCGGUUUCUGAUUUGAUUUCAUAAUGUCCCACUUUCAAUCAAUCAAUCUUUAUUGCGGUCAAAGACCAGACAGCAAAAUUAACAACAGCAACAUACACUUCAAAUGUCCCGCUUUUCCUUGGGACAUACCUAUUUUCACCGGAUAAAUGUUGGAGGGUAUGGAGUUAUGUGACCCCCAAGCCAAGGAGAUAACUAACUAAACAACCUUCAGAAGACAUCUGAAGGAUGUACCUGUAUAGGGAAGUUUUUAAAUGUUUUAUUAUGUAUAUAUAUAUAUAUAUUGUUGGAAGCUGCACAGAGUGACUGGGGCAACCCAGUCAGAUAGGAUGUUGUUGUUGUUGUUGUUGUUGCUGCUGUUGUUGUUGAAUGUUGAAGAGUAUGUAAGCAUCUGGAUCACCUAGAAGCUCCAACAGUUCAGAGUUUGGGUGUCUUUCUGAUCUAUGGGCCUGUCAACCAAUGAUCCAAGUAGCCCAGUGAGACUUUUAUCACUGAGGGUGGCUGGGUGUGAAGCUCAUAGGGCAAAAUGGCCCUCAACUCUUAAGGCCAGGGUCUUUUAAAGGCCCCGUCCCCCUGCGGGGUCUUGUAGGAUAUUCCCAGUUCCAUGAGAUGUGGCGAGAGCACCACUGUGAGAUGAAGAAGCCCUGCCUCCCCAUUGCUUCAAGAAGAAGAAGAGGAGGAGGAGGAGGAGGAGGAGGAGGAGGAGGAUUUGAUAUCCUGCUUUAUCACUACCUGAAGGAUUCUCAAAGCAGCUUACAUUCUCCUUUCCCUUCCUCCCCCACAACAAACAGUCUGUGAAGUGAGUGGGGCUGAGAGACUUCAGAGAAGUGUGACUAGCCCAAGGUCAUCCAGCAGCUGCAUGUGGAGGAGCAGAGAUGCGAACCCGGUUCACCAGAUUACGAGUCUACCGCUCUUAACCACUACACCACACUGGUUCCUGAGCCCCUGCAGUCCCAGGCAAAGUCAAUCACAAGGAGACAUGCACCGGACCUGACUAAAAAAAGGAGAAAAAAUUCAACAGGACUCUUUGGAAACCCACUUGUUUUGUAGGGUGCAGGGGUAGGAGGUGGAUGAGGCUCACGCAGCACUCGUUACCUUCACCAGAGAUGGAGAGCUAAAGUAUUUUCAAAGCAAGGAAGAAAAACCUGUCAUGGAUACAGAGUCAUACCAAAGCCAUGAAGAGCACUUCAAUAUAUAUCUGACAGUGGCCUUGCUAUCAAGAAUGCUUGUGAAGGACUUGCUGGAGAGUACCAGCUUGUUUAUCAGCAAAAUGAAUCCUGCGUGCUUCAAUUCUUCCUUAACAUACCUGUUUCAGGUUCAGGAUGCACACAUUUCUGGGUCUACAGCACACUCGGGAUUGUCAUCGUUUGGCUGCUGUGUUGCAUAAUCUAACAAAAAACAAAGAGAAGAAAACUCCAUUUAACCUUGCUGCUUAGCAAAUGGACCUCUGCUUCCUGGGUCAUCAGAGGUGCAAGAAAAGUGGAAGAGGUGCAUCCAGCAGAGAAAAUGGAGACUCUCUUUUCCCUGGGAACAAAAAACUUCACAAUGUUUGGCUGCAGAGCAGAAGCUGCAGGAUCUUGACCUCUCUGUGUCUUAGAAGUAUUGAUUGUUGGUUUUUUUUUAAUCUUUAGUACAGUAUAGAUCUUACUGUGAUUUAUGUGGGAACUGUUCGGUUUGGUUGAGUAUUUGCUUAAUGACUACAGUGGUACCUCGGGUUAAGUACUUAAUUCGUUCUGGAGGUCCGUUCUUAACCUGAAACUGUUCUUAACCUGAAGCACCACUUUAGCUAAUGGGGCCUCCUGCUGCCGCCGCGCCACCGGAGCACAAUUUCUGUUCUCAUCCUGAAGCAAAGUUCUUAACCUGAAGCACUAUUUCUGGGUUAGAGAAGUCUGUAACCUGAAGCGUAUGUAACCUGAAGCGUAUGUAACCCGAGGUAGCACUGUACUUUUGUUAUGGUGUAGUUAUGGUGUAGUUAUAUAUUUUUUCAUAUUGUAAGCUGCCUUCAGCAUAGUUUGAACUGUGGAAAGGCGGCAUACAAAUAAAAUUUAUGUAUACAAAGACUUGAAUAAAAAAGCAGACUGAUCUCAGAAACAAGAACCACAAGAAAGUGGAUUGUUUGACGCCAGAGAGUGAGUCAAUUUUAUUAGCAUCCUGAACAUGGUAGUCUUUAAUCUCUAAGCCCCGAAUCCACUUUAAAUAUGUCAACAUUACAAUGUCAAACUCCACUAUUAAAUAAUUUUUGUUGUAAGCCAUGAAUCAUAAGUCAUGAUUCAUCAAUGUAGGUGACAAUGCUGAACUUGAAAAGCUCUUAAAGGUAAUCCAGUGUUCCAAUUUAAGGUAGUUAUGUUGAUACUUUGGGUGUUCUGCCUGAAAGUUACGAUAGCCGAUGAAACAAAAUCAAACCAUCAAAGAUAAGGCCUUCAGGAUCAAGCUUAAUUUCCUUUCUGUUUGAGAAUAUUGCAAUAAAUUACUUAUUUAACAGAAAGCUGAGAACAUCACACAGUGGCAUUUCAGAUAUUUCUCCCUUGAUCAUUUAAUACCAUUUUCUCUCAGCUUCCUUUUUUAUCAUUACGCUGUAGGCAGAAUUUUAAUUAUAAUAUUUAUGCAAAUGAUGUUUGUAUAAUCAUAUUUGAAAAGAGUGUGUGGAUCGGAUUUUCCAACCAAUUUAUCUAAAUGCAAGCUUUAAACUUUCCCUUAAUCACUGUCAGGAACACUCGCCUUCCCAAUUCGUCAUUGCAGGCACUUCCCAUUAAAAACAGAGCGUUAAGCCUCACUACUACUACUCUUGGACCAGACAAGGACAAGCUGGAUUUUCAGCUGAUGGGUUUAACAACUUUACAGUGAAUUGAAAUAUCCUUCAACUGGAGUGAACUGCUGCUGUUAUUCCCCAUCGCCUUCCUUUGAGAACCAAGCCAGAUUCAUAGAGACAAAAGGGAUCUCAAAUUGCAGGGAAUCCACUGGUAGACCAUUCCUGAUACGUGGCCAUCCAGUCUCUGCUCAAAAACUUCUCAUGUAGAAUAGCUCACCACAUGCCAAGCAAACGGUUCCACUGUAGAACAGCUUGUAAUAUUGGGGUGUUAUUUCCUUGGGCUUAGUCAAUUUCCUCUUUCUCAUAAGUUGAUUUUUUUCCUAUUUCUCUGGAGCAGAGAAAAUGAAUUUGUAUGACAGACCUUCAAAUAUCCUCUCUUAAUUAGGGCUCUGUAUGUACACACAUGCACACACCAAUCUAGGACAUGAUCAGGUACUCAGUAUCGGCCCUGAUGUGGGAACCGGCUGAUAAGCAGAGAAUGCAAUCCUGCCGGGAUCUGCCCUUUAUAACAUUUUCUGCCUUCCUCUGGACAUGUUCCAGAAUGGACAGGGCUUCCUUAGAGGAAGAAGAUUCCAUCACUGGUCAUAGGGGCCAACUCCUAGGGGCCGAGCGGCCUUUGCCCCCCCAAUAAAAUAUUUGAGGAGGCUGCCCCCCAAAGUUGAUGGGCAUUGCCAUGCAAAAGGUGUCCGCGCACCACAUCAUGUGAUUCAUUAUGGGGGGUAGGGCUUACUUGCCUCCCUUAUUUUGUUUAAGUUGGCACCCCUGACAUUGGGUGAUGUACCGAUCAACCUUUUUUAAAGCUAUUCAAAGGAAACAUAACACAUCUACAAUCGGAGUCUGAAUCCUUUAUCUGGUGAGAGCCAGAAAACAGUAUAGACAACACUGAACUAGAUAGACCAGGGGUAGGCAACCUAAGGCCCAGGGGCCAGAUCAGGCCCAAUCACCUUCUCAAUCCGGCCCGCAGACGGUCCGGGAAUCAGCAUGUUUUUACAUGAGUAGAAUGUGUCCUUUUAUUUAAAAUGCAUCUCUGGGUUAUUUGUGGGGCAUAGGAAUUUGUUCAUAUUUUUUUUUCAAAAUAUAGUCUGGCCCACCACAUGGCCUGAAGGAAGGUGGACCAACCCACGGCUGAAAAAGGUUGCUGACCCCUGAGAUAGACCAAUGGCCUAACUCAGUAUCAAGCAACUUCCUGAGUACCUGUUCCCACCACAGCCAGUUCCAUGGACCACCAGAAUGAAGCUCUACCAAACACUAAGGAUCCAUGGACCACACUAGGAUAGAGUAAUCUUGGGGAGGACAUACUUGGCUGGCACUCUGGACAGGAGCACGUCAUCCUGUAAUAUUUUGUGGCAGAGCCCACCUAUGCUCAUCUAAAGGGGGAAAUGUCCAUAUCUGCUGGGGGGGGGGAAUCACAUGAGGAGUAGCAGGUGUUGCAUUUGCUUCCUUACACUCCAGCUGCUCUGUCCCACAUUGUUGUCUCUCAACCGGGACAAUCCCCCUGGGUGAAAAGUCAUUGGCAUGUCCCAAUUGGCAGCAUAAAUAAAACCAUGAUGAGAUUUCACUGAUUGCCUAUUAAAGCCCCACAGUGCUAGAUACCAUGCGCUCCCCCAUAAAGGAGGCUUCCGAAAGGAGGGCAGGAACAGGCGACAUUUUAAUGCCAUUAGAGAAAUUGGCCUCUCCAACACCUUUUAACAUGAUUAACAGUUAUGGGGUCUUAGGAGGGGGCUUUUUCUUCCUUUUUUUUUUUUUUUUUAAGUGGCAGUUAAAAGAGAACAUUACGGUGCCAUUUAGACAGAGUUAUAGCAACCAGAAAGCACAGAGAAGUUCCACCAUGUGGGCUAGGCAAAUAUCUGUUGAAGGUGAAAUCAUGGAAUUAUGGGUGCUUUUGACAUUGUAAGUUGCCUUUGGUUGUUCUUCUUGGCAAAUGUGGCCUUUGGGAGUAGCGCUGGAGAAGAAAUUUGCAUUUAUAGGUGAGCCUACUUUGUGAAACAAUAUGCAAACUGAAACACCGCUAUGCUUCAAAAUCCACACUUUUUGCUGUGAAAAUUUUGUUUUAUUUUAUUAUUCAUUAAAUUUAUAUGCCACCCUUCACCCAAGGAUCACAGAGGGGCUUACAUACCGCCUCUCCCGGUAUGCCCCACGGAGAGCCUCAAGGUCCAUAAAUAGCAACACCCUAGUGGUCCUGGGCCCUAAGGAAGUUAGAUUAGCCUCAACCAGAGCCAGGGCCUUUUCAACUCUGGCUCCGGCCUGGUGGAACGUUCUGCCUCAUGAGACCAGGGCCCUGCAGGAUCUGAUUUCUUUCUGCAGGGCCUGUAAGACAGAGUUGUUCCACCUGGCCUUUGGCUUGGAGCCAAUUUUAUUCCCUCCCCCUCUUUCUUCUUUUUCCUUUCUCCUCCUGUGAUGAGGCUGUAUUUUAAUGUUUUAAUAUUUUAAUGUUGUAUUUUAAUCUUGUUUUUAAGUUGUAUUCAUUCAACUAGUUUUUAUUAUUGCUUGUUAGCCGCCCUGAGCCUGGCCUUGGCAAGGGAGGGCAAGGUAUAAAUAAAAAUUAUUAUUAUUAUUAUUAUUAUUAUUAUUAUUAUCUGUUGCCAUCCAUUUUGAGAGAUAAUGGAGUGUGCCUCCGGGAGCAAAGUCAAACCACUGCUUUAGCAGCCCUGAAGAUAUCAUGCAAGGCAGAGGAGACUUAGGAUCUGGUGAGGGUAGCUGAUGGGUCUCAAACCCUUACUCAGUUAGGGACUUCACCUGCAUGCAAAGACUGGCUACGGCAGAUUGAGCAGUCAAGACCAAUCGUGGGUCCAACGGUCAUGAAAGUGGUUUCUGCACUUGCUGUAGAAGGAAGUGAGGGGCAGAUGGGGCUCAUCAACCUGAUCCUCUUUUUACAGCGUGGAAACUCCAAAAUGCAUAACAAACAAACAAAACCUACCCACCAUUUAAAAAGGCCAUCGAUAAUUUAAUUAGACAAAGGUCUGGGAGAAGAGAAAUGUUUUUGCCUGGCACUUGAAGAUAUGUAAUGAAGGCGCCAGAAGAGUCUCUCUCUAAAAACAAUGGGAAAUAAACACCUGAAAUCAUAGAACUGUGGAUUGGAAAGGACCCUAAGGGCAGGAGUCAUAGCUAAAGAACCCUAGGCCACCCAACAACUGUUUAAACAUCUCCAAUGUAGGAGCAUUUGUGACUUUCCAAGGGAGCCUGUUCCACUAUCUAACAACUCUCAAAGAGCUAAAAUAAGCAGCACACAGCUUCCCUCAGAUGAUCCCUUAAUUCAGUACUCAUCCUGAUUAUAGUGAUGAUAGUUAGACCAUCCUGAUGAUAGUUAGACCAGGGGUUGGCAAGGCUUACUGGGCAUGGGCCAGAUCACUCCCGCGGAGAUCCUCCAUGGGCUGGACUGGUGCAGUGUGAUGCCGGAAAUCGCAUGUCUGCGCAUGUCCAGAUGCCAAAAAUCAUGCCUGCGCAGAAGUGAUUUUCGGCGUCUGGGCAUGCACAGAAGUGAUUUCCGGAGCUGUGGAAAAGAGUCCCCGCACAGCGCUGUGCCAGUUUAGCACAGCACGCGGGGACUCGCCGAGCGGGCGGCUUGAUUCGGGGGCGGCUCAAGGGCCAGUUAAGCAACCCUCAUGGGCUGCUUCUGGCCCAUGGGCCCUAGGUUGCCGACCUCUGAUUUAGACUGUAUGUCCAGUCUCUGAGCAUUUGCUCCUAUUCACUUAUGCGGAGCUUAUACAACAAUGAGAAUUUACCCUUCUCAUUAAUCAUUCAUUCGUCUCACAGUUUUCAGCGCAUUUUCCCAUCACUUUCCAAACAGCAAAAAAAAAAGGCAUUAAAAAGUGAAUUUGUUGUGCUAGAGCAACAAGAGCACCUUAAUGGUACAAAUCUAAAGUUCUGAUGUAUGCUUGCAUCCCUCCUCACAGUCUGGAGGCACCCACCUAUACAGGGGUUCCUCAUUGGCAAGGCAGGUGCACUCUGCACAUGCCCAUGCAUUUUACUUCUGAGGUCCUGAGUUCCGAAUUAAUUUUUUCAUACUGCAGGGCAUGAACUUGUUUUCCAUGUCUAGGCUCUUUUCAGUCCCAUGCACAGUCCCAUCAAACACUUAGGGACACCCUGAGACAUUCAGCAAAAUGACUUCAGCCAGCCCCAGCCCAGCUGGCUUAUUGUUGGGAAUUUGUAGAACCUGCUCCAUUUAGCCAAAGCAUUGCUUCAUUAGCAUGCAUCCCAGGUACUGUGGAAAAGGUGAGGAGAGAGGGUUGGGGUGGGGGUGGGGAGGAGGUAAUCAGUGUGCCACAAGAAGAAUACACUUGUUAAUAAGGCAGAGAUAGAAGAAGAGAAAUGGCAAUGCAAUAACCCCUGUCAAUUUGUCUCCAAGCGCAGCCUUCCAGCAAUCUAUAUCUAACUGGAAUACAAGUACCAGCCAGCCAUAAUUAGCCUUUUAGCAAUCCAGCCAUCACACUGCAACCAGUGCACUACUGCGUUAAGACAAUGAAACACGUCUUCAGUCAAUGUCUGUAUCCAGAUUUGGAGUCUGUGUUCCCCAGCCCAGGCACCUCGAGGUCACUCGCUGGAUAAAUCAGCCAGCGUAAUGUUCCUUCUCUGUUGGCCAAGCAAAGGAGAAAAAAAAGGGCAAACGACUUACAUUUAGACCAAACCUGGCCAGCCCAGAGGCUUCAGGUGGACUGUUAGUUGCUGGGACUGAUGCUGUGCAAUCGUGAUUUACAGCCAGAAUUAUUUUGAUACAUGGUGGUGUUUUUCAAGUGGGAGGGGUUGCUCAGUUCAGAAAUGCAUCUGACUCUUAUAAGCUGGGAUAAUUCGUUUUCUAAAUCAGGUUUUCUAAUUCAACAACUGUGCAGAUGACAGAGACCUUUGAAAUGUUCUCAUGGGAACCUGCACCCUCAAAUUAGUGAGUCACCAGAUUAAGGGUUUUGCCCAACUCAGUUUUACUCCGAGUGAAUCCAUUGAAAUUAAUGGACCCUAGUCAGCCAUACCCAUUAUUUUAUAUAGUUCUACUUUGAGCAGGAAAAGCAUUGGAUAUCUAACCCUUUGUGCCUGCAAAACCUUCUAAAUGACCUGCAAACACAAUCCCAAGUGGAGAGUCUCAGUAGGAUCAAGAUAACGUCCCCACACAUAAACAAACACAUUUUCUUUUAUUAUGAUUAAAUAUGUUGCAUACUGAGCAACUCAGUUAUUAUGUAGCCUCCUCCCUCCCUCUUCCUCUCUGGGAGUCUUUGUCUCGGCUUUGAUGAAUUGAGCUAGGCAACUCCUCUGACUAAGAUGGAUGGGAGUCUUAAAUGAUAUCAACUGAACCAAGUGGCUGAUUUGUGUAUGCCCCCAUUCAGGAUUAAACUAAUAAGAUGUUCAUUUAUGGCUCUAUUACUGAGAUGUGUAACCACCAGCAGCAAGGGGUGGGGCUGGUCAAGUGUAAGUGUGUGUGUGUGUGUGUGUGUGUGUGUGUGUGUGUGUGUUUGUAGAAUUGUAGAGUUGGAAGGGACCCCAGUGAUCACCUAAUACAAAUACCUAAUACCUGCAGUGCUGGAAUCCAUAGGAGCCAACUCAUAGGGGCUGAGGUCCCUUUGACCCCCCUCCCAAUAAAAUAUUUGAGGGUGCCCUCCGAUAUGAUGACCAUUGCCAUUCAAAUGCUGUAUGUCCACUGCAUCUUGUAAUUGAUUAUGUGGAGCGGGGCUUACCUGCUCCCCCUCAUAUGGGAGCGGGUAGCUUGUGGUCUAAACUACUGAGCCCCUUGGGCUUGCCAAUUGGAAGGUCGGCGGUUCAAAUCCCCGCGACAGGGUGAGUUCCCGUUGCUUUGUCCCAACUCCUGCCAACCUAGCAGUUCAAAAGCAUGCAAGUGCAAGUAGAUAAAUAGGUACCACUGCCGCAGGAAGGUAAACGAUACUCUCUGGUUUCCAUCACGGUGUCCUGUUGCGCCAGAAGUGGCUUAGUCAUGCUGGCCACAUGAACCAGAAAGCUGUCUGUGGACAAAUGCCAGCUCCCUCGGCCUGAAAAGCAAGAUGGGCGCCGCAACCCUGUAGUCACCUUUGACUGGACUUAACCAUCCAGGGGUCCUUUACCUUUAUCUUUUUUACUUGCCCCCUCAUAUUUUAUUCAAGUUGGCAUUCUUGUUUCCAUCACAACUAAGGAAUCCCUGGCAGAUGACCACCCAACAUUUGUUUUUAAAAACCCAGGGAAGGAGGUAGUCUUCCGCCAAACAACUCUUACUGUCAGAAAGUCCGCUACGUAAAAGGUCUGUCCAGAACUUGAUGCAAAACAUUUUAAAUAUACCAUAUACACAGCAUACAUAUAUUGCAGCAAAUGCAAUGGGGAUGAAACGGUUGAAAUAUUUUAACAUUUAUCCGAAGUCAACAGUGGAUAUGAAGUCUCUUCUAUAUUCUUGGGGUCAUUUGAGUAGCUGAUGUAGCAGCUGUCUCAGGUAAUCUUGUAGAAAAUUGGCUCUUUCCCUUAAUGUGCAGCACACUUCCAAGGCAAGAGAAACAAUGAGACGAGACUUCACCGGGUGCCCUCAGGGUGUUGUCUGUGUGGUACAGACGAACUGCUCUUUGCCCUGCUAAGUCUGGCACCUCUCAGCUGAUUGAGACGAAGAACGCUUUAGUUUUUAUCUAUCACACUCACUCUCCCGUGCUAGAAUUGCUGUGUGUACCCAUGAAAUCGUGGUGCACAUUCAUUUCAGAGUGAGGAAUUGAACAGGGCCCAUUUGGUUCGAUCUUCAUUUGCUCCGCAAUGCAUGUGCAGAGUAACAAAUGGGUACUUUCUUUUCAUUACUCCCCUUUCGGUCUCGUUCAUUACUUGCUCAUAUUAUCAGAGAGGGUAAGCUUACCUUGCUCCAGAGGUCGUGAAUCCUGUGGUUGUUAAAGUCAGAAAUCAGCCAACUGUUGUGGAAAGACGUGCCCUUAAUUGCCUGCAUAACCCUGAUGGAAUAGAAAAGUUUUCAGCAGGUGUUUAAAAAUUAGCACAGAACACAACUACUGAAUCUAUAUUGACAGUGUUGUUUCUUAGGGCUGGGUCAAUGACAUUGAAGGCUUGGUUUCUGGUUUCUGGUUGUCAAAUGAACCCUGCCAACUCGGGGAACGACCAACGACCCACCUGCAAAUGAGCUCAGUGAUUAAACUGGGAUUUAAGGGUUCAAGAAGUCCCUAAGACAGCCUGGACAUACCAUACCUUUCCAUCUAUAAGACGCCUCCAUGUAUAAGAUGUAUAUUUUGGGGGUCUCAAAUUUGUGGAGGAUUGCCCAGAGUUAUUGAGCUUUUCUUGGGGGGGGUGCUCACCCGCAUGUGUCAAAAAAUCCACCUCCUGUCUGUCCCAUCGCCAGCAGAAGCUGCCAAUCACCCGCCCAACUGCCGGAGCGUCAGCCAAUCAACACCACCCAUUGAUGCAGCAACCAAUAACAUGCACAAUAACCACCGACAGCCAUGGCAGCAGCCAAUCAAACAUCCACCCUAUGCACUACCCAUGUAUAAGAUGACCCCCACUUUUAAGCAUGAUUUUUAAAAGGAAAAAACAUAGUCUUAUACAUGGAAAAGUACGGUAGGUUGUUCAGAGCUUUAUAAAUUAAUACAAUGACCUCAAACCUGGCUUGGUAAUAGAUGUGCAGAGUCAGUGAAGCUGUUUUAACAUCGGUAUGGGGCAAAGGAUUGCUCCGAGGACCCAUUGCAGGGAUUCCAAAGAAAGAUCUACAAAACUCAGUUCUAGUGAUCAGUUCUAGUGCUUUGCUAUAGAGAUAUAUCAAAAGAUUUGCAUACAGCAACGCAAUGCAGGAUUCCUUGCUGCCACACCUCAGGAUGGAUGCUGAAGCUGAAAGCACCGUGGCUUUGUCUGCAAGGGGCUAAUUGUAUAUGGGCUACUCAUGGAAAAAGCAAGCUACGUAAGCUGGCAACAAUAGCCCAAUUAGCCACCCCUAGCUUACAGGCCCUUUCCCCACUCCCAUCCAUCUUUCAGAUAAGAGGGUAGCUGACAGACAAGCAACAUGAGAAGCCUUCCCUCUUCCAACUUUUUGUUGUUUAGUCGUUUAGUCGUGUCUGACUCUUCGUGACCCCAUGGACCAGAGCAUGCCAGGCACUCCUGUCUUCCACUGCCUCCCACAGUUUGGCCAAACUCAUGCUGGUAGCUUCGAGAACACUAUCCAAUCAUCUCGUCUUGCCAUCUCAUUUUUGACCACAUCCAACUUACCCAGGUUCAUGGUUCUUACAUUCCAGGUUCCUAUGCAAUAUUUUUAUUUACAGCAUUGGACUUUCCUUUCGCUUCCAGGCAUAUCCGCAACUGAGCGUCCUUUCGGCUUUGGCCCAGCCGCUUCAUCAGCUCUGAAUCUACUUGUACUUGUCCUCCACUCUUCUUCGGUAACAUGUUGGACGCCUUCCAACCUGAGGGGCUCAUCUUACAGCAUCAUAACUUUUAUAUGCCUGUUGUCUUUGUCCAUGGAGUUUUCUUGGCAGGGAUACUGGAGUGGCUUGCCAGUUCCUGCUCCAGGUGGAUCACGUUUGGUCAAAACUCUCCACUAUGACCUGUCCAUCUUGGGUGCCCUGCACGGCAUAGUUCAUAGCUUCUCUGAGUUAUUCAAGCCCCUUCACCACGGCAAGGCAGUGAUCCAUGAAGGGGCUCUUCCAACUAACAGAACCAAAAUUAAGGCUUCAAAGCUUCAAAGCAAGCAGAUAGGCAUAUAAGACCUCGUUUUUACAGCUCACAUUUUUGAGGUUAUCUUGACUACAAAGAUGGCGUUUACAGGUCUUCCUGGACCUUUGCCCCAUUUGAUUAUACACAUCCUGACCCCCCAGGAGAGAAUAUCUGGUAGAAUUCUCUUACAAUUUUGCCGCCCACAAAUAGGGUGGUGCGUUUUUGCUCAGGCUCCCUGCUGAUUGCCUCCCCGUUAUACUUGCUUGCUACAAUGUGUGAGCUAUUUACCCAUUUGUGCCCAGACAUAUCCUGGAAUACAGAGAAAUGGACUAUGACAUAAAAAGACAAUUAUGGGAAGAAAAGACUGUAGAAGCAAAUGUACCUUAGCACUCAGUAAUGUGAACAAAUAUUGCAUACAAUUGUACUGCACAAGUUUAUCUCAUGUAAUGUUGUGUUUGAUGCGAAAACUUCAUCAAAGUAAUGGACUGCUCGGGCUCUUUACCAGUUCUUCCAGUUCAUUUCCAUCGUUCACCACUCUGCAUCACCUGUGUACAGAUGCACAUUGAUAAGACACUCCUUUGUGUGAAGUGUUUUCCUUCUUUUUCUUUUCCCCCCUUUUCUUUUCUUUUUUUUUAAGAUUCGUUCGGCUUUAAUGUACUCUGUGUUGACAACUUUCAGUAAAAAAAAGUAUUAAAAAAAAGAUAAAACACUAGGAAUAGACAGCCAAUGAGAGUCCUACUUGGAGUAGGUCCCUUUAAGUUCAUGGUCCUAAAUUAGUCAAGUGCUUGAACAAUUAUGACCUGUGCCUGUUCCUUAAGCAGUGGCAUCACAAUGGGGGGGGCGGGGGGCAGUGCGACCAGGGUGCCAUGUCUGGGGGGUGGUGACAUGAAGGCACCCUGUGGGGACUCGCAGCAGAGCAAGCAGCCAUUGUGUCACCACAGCCACAUGUGGAGGAUCCUCCAUUCAGGGCUGAAGCCACGAGCAGAGGAUCCCGGCGCCGGUGGCAAACUGCUAUGUACAGCGCAUGUGCAGCGUCACACGUAUGUGCUGUACAUAGCGACGCUCCCUCCGUCCCUCCAUCGCCACUACAGCCAUGAACAGAGGAUUCUGGCACCAUCCAUAUGGCGCUGGAGCGGCAGCGCCGGCAAACCGCUAUGUACGCUGUACACAGAGGUUUGCUGCCCCGGGUGUCACGACACCUUCGUUCGCCCCUGUCCUUAAGACACCAAAAUUGACCAUGGUGACCCAUGCCUUUCUUACAAUCCUGCUGAGGUCUGUUUCCUCAACAUUCCCUGCAGGCAAAACAGCAUCCUGAAGCCAGAAGGAUUGCACUCUGCACUUACUAGCUUGUGAGUGGAGGAUUCUGUCAGGCUUCAGCCCUAUUAAUCGAUGUCACUCCUGCGUCUUGUAAUCUGAAAUGUAGUAUAAACACUAACAAUUGGGAAACACUGGCCUGCAAGCGCUCCAAUUGGAGAACAGCCUUUACCAAAGGCGUCAUGGGCUUUGAAGACACUCGAACUCAGGACACAAGGGAGAAAUGUGCUAAGAGGAAGGCACACUUGGCAAAUCCACACUGUGAUCAACUCCAGCCUGGAAACCAAUGUCCCCACUGUGGAAGGACAUGUGGAUCCAGAAUUGACCUCCACAGUCACUUACAGAGACAUUGUUAAAACCGUGUUUAUGGAAGACAAUCUUACUCAGCUCCGAGUGGCCUCCAAAGAAGAAGAAAAAUCUGAGCUUGUACCCUCUGUGCAGUGGCACGCGUCCUGGGGGCAUGGCAUCCAGUGCGGGUGGGGGGGCAGCCACGAUGGCACCCCACAAGGAUCGCACUGCCAGGGGCGGCACGCUCCCCCCACCCCCUCUUCCUCUGCCAGUGACUCUGUGCUUUCUGUUCUGAAACUUUCUGAGCUCUCUGUGACCUUGGGGAGAUUGGAGGAAUGCUGUCCAUCAACUGUGAAUCUGUUAACCCUCUCUCUUCCUGUGUUCCUUUACCUAACUGUUCCCCAUCCAGUACAGCUGUACCUCAGAAGUCAAACGGAAUCCAUUCCAGAGGUCUGUUUGACUUCCAAAAUGUUCAGAAACCAAGGCACAGCUUCCAAUUGGCUGCAGGAAGCUCCUGCAGCCAAUCGGAAGCUGUGUCGGACGUUCAGGUUCCAAAGAAUGUUUGCAAAGCGGAACACUCACUUCUGGGUUUGCGGCAUUUGGGAACGAAAACAUUUGACUCACAAGGUGUUCAGGAUCCAAGGUACAACAGUAUUUCCCAGCUUCUGCCUUCUAAACUAUGCCCCUCUGCAAACCACUGUUCCAAAUCUAUACUGUCCUCCUGCUCCUGGGAAGAUUCAGGAGCAGGAGGGGGAGGGGGUGACUCCCACCAUUCCUCCUCAGUGCAGCCCUCCUCAGCACAGUCCCUGACAGAUUCAUUCCGGCUGGGACAAUCUGCCUCUCCUUUUUCCCACUUAGUGCCCUGUCCCAUGACAGCCCUGGAUCACUCUGGGAAGCCUGACCCAACCCAGGGUUGUCUCCGCUCAAACUGGCUGAAGCCCAGAUCCUUCCUAAUUGUCCCUGUUUGAGUCAGGAUAUGUCUGAACCUUUUCCAUCAAUUGGUUUUCUAGUCCUGCCCUCUGGAGCAACAGUAGAUUAAUCUGAUCCACCUUCUAUGUAGCAACCUUCAGGUGGCUGAUGAUGUUCAAAUCAUGAUUACAGCAACCUUCUUCUUUCAUAGUGAAUUACCAAUGCCUACAGGAGCUCCUUGAUAUCAACAAAACAAUGAUCUUGAUAGCAGCAGCACACGGUUGCGUUUCUUGGCAAUACAUGAACACAUUAGUAUUGGCCAUGCAAUGGUACUUCCAGUGCCUUCAUUGGCUCUUUUGGGUGCCUGGGAUGGAUUGAACAUAGACCAUCAUGAUAAAACUCUGGCCCUCCAUCUACUAGCUGCAGAAUGAAUGCUAAGAGCUAAAGGCUGGAAACAUCUGAAGGUAACUGGCAAAGAGGCCUGGUGUGUUUUAUAUUAACAUUUGAAAAGUUGACAUGCAAAAUACAGUUUGACAUGCAAAUAAAAUGGACAACUUCUUAAAUGUUUGGCAACAUAUAUAAAUGAUGCAAUUAAAAUUCAGACUGCUCCAGCUAGGCAUCCAUCUAUUUGGAAUGCAAAAUGCAUUUUGGGUGAUACUGAUUAUUUUUGAUGGAGCACUAGAUGCUGUUUUUCUUGUAUAUAUCUGCAUAGGAAUAAGAAAAAAAUAAAUGUGUUGAUUUAUAACAUUUCACUGCUCACUUCCUGUUUGGUGAAUUUCAGAUAAUAGCCUCCCCCCACUUAAAAAAAUAUAUAUCUUUUUAAAAACUUUUGUUCUGUCUGCUUCCUUUUUCUCACACUGGUGAACUUUUUUUAUUUACUUCUUUUAGGUAUAUCUGUAUUUAUGAAUCUUUCUCUCUCUCUCUCUCUCCCUCAAUUAUCUCAAUAUAAAUAUGCAUCUUUGUUUGCACUGAAAAUUGAAUAAAGCUAAAUUAAUCCAGGAAUGCAAAGGAAGAAGUCACGAAGGAAAACUGAGGGGAAAGUGGGCUUGUGGCACACUCUGAACAAAAUCCACAAAUGAAAAGACGCCAAACAAUGGAGGAGAACCGAAUAAAUCAGUUGGUGGAAGCUUCUGCGAAAACCUCUAUCUUCUGUCUUUAUUUUGUGGUAACGUUAUCCUUUACAAGUUUGCUUCGGAUGGUUCAGUGUGAAAAGCAACACAUACAUGCUCCGGCCC
Molecule: non-coding RNA, 40996 nt
Organism: Podarcis lilfordi (Lilford's wall lizard)
Lineage: Eukaryota; Metazoa; Chordata; Lepidosauria; Squamata; Lacertidae
Source: the annotation of a GenBank genome assembly